RNAcentral lists this ribosomal RNA (379 nucleotides) under uncultured eukaryote. Its description in RNAcentral is "partial 18S ribosomal RNA". It matches the Rfam family "Eukaryotic small subunit ribosomal RNA", at positions 592 to 975 of the family's 1831-position model. The record is from RNAcentral.
CAAUAGCGUAUAUUAAAGUUGUUGCAGUUAGAACGCUCGUAGUCGGAUUUCGGGGCGGGCCGACCGGUCUGCCGAUGGGUACGCACUGGUCGGCGCGUCCUUCCUUCCGGAGACCGUGCCUACUCUUAACUGAGCGGGGGCGGGAGACGGAUCGUUUACUUUGAAAAAAUCAGAGUGUUUCAAGCAGGCAGCUCGCUCUUGCAUGGAUUAGCAUGGGAUAAUGAAAUAGGACUUUGGUGCUAUUUUGUUGGUUUCGAACACCGAAGUAAUGAUAAAUAGGGACAGUCAGGGGCACUCGUAUUCCGCCGAGAGAGGUGAAAUUCUCAGACCAGCGGAAGACGAACCACUGCGAAAGCAUUUGCCAGGGAUGUUUNCACUG